GGUUGGAUGGCCGAGCGGUCUAAGGCGCCAGACUAAGGAUCCGCUUCCUUGUGAAGCAAUAUUGCCUCUUCUGAGGCAUCUGGUCCGAAAGGGCGUGGGUUCGAAUCCCACUCCAAUCA
Roridomyces roridus is the source of this 119-nucleotide non-coding RNA. The record is from the annotation of a GenBank genome assembly. Lineage: Eukaryota; Fungi; Basidiomycota; Agaricomycetes; Agaricales; Mycenaceae.